RNAcentral lists this ribosomal RNA (391 nucleotides) under uncultured Staphylococcus sp. Its description in RNAcentral is "bacterial SSU rRNA". It matches the Rfam family "Bacterial small subunit ribosomal RNA", at positions 61 to 445 of the family's 1533-position model. The record is from RNAcentral. Lineage: Bacteria; Bacillati; Bacillota; Bacilli; Caryophanales; Staphylococcaceae.
ACCGAACAGACGAGGAGCUUGCUCCUCUAACGUUAGCGGCGGACGGGUGAGUAACACGUGGAUAACCCACCUAUAAGACUGGGAUAACUUCGGGAAACCGGAGCUAAUACCGGAUAAUAUAUUGAACCGCAUGGUUCAAUAGUGAAAGACGGUUUUGCUGUCACUUAUAGAUGGAUCCGCGCCGCAUUAGCUAGUUGGUAAGGUAACAGCUUACCAAGGCAACGAUGCGUAGCCGACCUGAGAGGGUGAUCGGCCACACUGGAACUGAGACACGGUCCAGACUCCUACGGGAGGCAGCAGUAGGGAAUCUUCCGCAAUGGGCGAAAGCCUGACGGAGCAACGCCGCGUGAGUGAUGAAGGUCUUCGGAUCGUAAAACUCUGUUAUUAGGGA